This 467-nucleotide ribosomal RNA is filed under the name uncultured bacterium. RNAcentral's name for it is "partial 16S ribosomal RNA". It matches the Rfam family "Bacterial small subunit ribosomal RNA", at positions 28 to 506 of the family's 1533-position model. The record is from RNAcentral.
GACGAACGCUGGCGGCGUGCUUAACACAUGCAAGUCGAACGGAAAGGCCCUGCUUUUGUGGGGUGCUCGAGUGGCGAACGUGUGAGUAACACGUGAGUAACCUUCCCUUGACUUUGGGAUAACUUCAGGAAACUGGGGCUAAUACCUGAUAGGAGCUCCUGCUGCAUGGUGGGGUUUGGAAAGUUUCGGCGGUUGGGGAUGGACUCGCGGCUUAUCAGCUUGUUGGUGGGGUAGUGGCUUACCAAGCCUUUGACGGGUAGCCGGCCUGGGAGGGUGACCGGCUACAUUGGGACUGAGAUACGGCCCAGACUCCUACGGGAGGCAGCAGUGGGGAAUAUUGCACAAUGGGCGGAAGCCUGAUGCAGCAACGCCGCGUGCGGGAUGACGGCCUUCGGGUUGUAAACCGCUUUCGCCUGUGACGAAGCGUGAGUGACGGUAAUGGGGAAAGAAGCACCGGCUAACUACGU